CAGCUCCGUGGGGUACAGGCUACGGAACAGUUUAGCACUUGUUCGGGGGGUCCAGCCCGAUGUUGGGCCCAUAAAGGAAGCAGAUGUGCAGGAACUGACCCGUAACCCAGAGGCUGGGCUGGGCAUCUCGUGUUCUGCACACUACAUCCUGACUUGCAGGUGGCUCCAACCAGGUGAUGUGGAAAGGAGCUGUGUCUGCACUACACACUCUCACUACAGGUGUCCUCCUGGGGUGCCAACCUGCAUCUCUGCAUGGUUGGCAAACAUCUUGUUUUAGAACUUGGCCCACAACACUGUUCUUCCUCCCUGGAAAAGACUGCCUAAUUCAAUUCCUCUUCACCCUGAACCCAGUCGUUACCUGCAAACAAGAAAGAAGAGGCUGACCCCUGCUGGUUCAUAGAGUAUGACCCUUAAUGACACACUUAUCAUCCCAUCUGGACUAUUCUAACUCUGGUUGGGUUCCUUCUUCUGCCACAUCUGUGCUCUUGACCAGGAAUAACACUGAAAGUUUGUUGUAAUUCCCCAAGCACUAACUACGGCUUAGGGAUUGUUCAGGUGAAUAAUGGCUUGUUGUGAAAAAUGACUCAGUGGGCCUCAAGAACAACUCAGGGUAAGCAGAAUUCGCCCCAAAAUAUGAUUCUAGGUGAAACUAUCCCUUUAAAGUAAAAAUGUUUUAAGGAUAUACCCAGUUUGAAAACAAUGUUUCAGAAAUGCUUGAUUUGUUCCAGUUUUUAUGUUGAGCCUACUUUUUAAUUACAUUAAAGAACGAACACAACGAAUUUUGACGUUGGACGAAUGUUUCUUUUAAAUAUUUCCCUUUUUAUGUGAAUGAUGUGUUAUCAGGUGUGGGUUAGCAAAUGGAAAUGUGCUUGGUAAGUAUUAGGCCAAUCACAGUGAAUGUUAAGUCUAUGCGCAGUGAUUUUGGAGAGAUUGUUCUAAGGAGAUAGUCUUUAGGGUGUGAAGAAAAGAGGAGCACCAUUUAUACAAAUGUAACUUGUGGCACCGAGUGGCUGGUGAGAUUAAAAUGGGAUUUAGGGGGUAAAUGUUGAGAUAAAGCUAUGGGGAGAAGCAGAAGAUAGGUUGGAGUGAGUCACUACUUUAAACAAU
Molecule: long non-coding RNA, 1107 nt
Organism: Esox lucius (northern pike)
Lineage: Eukaryota; Metazoa; Chordata; Actinopteri; Esociformes; Esocidae
Exons: 3
Source: RefSeq, a predicted model, not a curated record